GGCUUUGUAGUUUACAUAGAAUUUUAAAUUGCAAGUUUAAAGGCACAUAAUUGUUAAAGCUU
This 62-nucleotide transfer RNA is filed under the name Archispirostreptus gigas (African giant black millipede). Its description in RNAcentral is "tRNA-Cys". Lineage: Eukaryota; Metazoa; Arthropoda; Diplopoda; Spirostreptida; Spirostreptidae. The record is from RNAcentral.